UGAUGGCUUUUAGCCCUUUUUAAAUUAAUUGUGUGUGAUGCUGGUUAAAAUUUUAUUUAUAAUUAAUUUUAAAGAAGGGUUUAAGUUAGGGAGUAAUUUUGAAAGAAAGCUUUAUGGCAUGUUUAAGUACUGUGAAGGAAAACUUUUAAUUAUUGUGAAGAUAGGGUUAAAACGUUCUACCUUUUGUAUGAUGGCUUAUCGAGAUUAAACAGUAAGGAUUUACUUUUCCCGAAAUUAAGUGAGCUAUUAAUUUAAUUUUUUUUCAAUGUAGCAUAAUUGUGUUAAAUAUUUUAAUAGUGGUGACAUGCUCUUCGAACUUGAUUAUAGCUGGUUAACUAAGAAGUAUAUCUAAGUAUAGGACGGUCUACAGAAGUAAAAUUUAGUAUAUCUAAGUAUAGGACGGUCUACAGAAGUAAAAUUUAUUAAAAGAGUUUGUUUUUUUACUGGUCUUAGCCUUGAGGAGAUAAGUUCUUAAGGUUUCAUAAACAUAUUCGUUGUUUUAAAUGGGUUUCUAGGCUUAAUAUUAGUCAUGGACUUAAGAGUUUGUUAUAAAAAUCCCAAGAAGUAAAAUGGUUUUAGGUUAUAGGUAUUAUUAGUUCGUAACGAAAAAUUAUAUUUGUUUUUGAUUAUGUUAAGAUUAGUAUUAAAAAAUUACAUUUACAAGGGGCUAUAUCAGCUUGUAAUGAGUUAGUUUUAAGUUUAAAUGAGAAAAAGGAAUUCGGCAAAUUUUAUUUCGCCUGUUUAACAAAAACAUGGCUCUCUGACUUUAAGCAAUGGGGAGUCGGGCCUGCCCGGUGAUUAAUAUUUAACGGCCGCGGUAUCUUGACCGUGCGAAGGUAGCAUAAUCAUUUGUCUUUUAAUUAAAGACUGGAAUGAAUGGUUUGACGAAAAUAAAGCUGUCUCUUUUUUAAUAAGUAGAAAUUAAUUUUUAAGUGAAGAAGCUUUAAUUAUUUAAAUAGACAAGAAGACCCUACUGAGCUUUAAUUGACUUUUAGAAUGAAGGAAGUUUUAAUAAGCGGAUAUCUAUGGGUAUAUUUUGGUUGGGGUGACUAAGGAAUAUGAAAACCUUCCUUUUUUUAUGUAAACGAGGAUCCGGUAUUACCGACUUUAGGAAAAAGUUACCAUAGGGAUAACAGCGUAAUUUUUUUUGAGAGUUCUUAUCGAAAAAAAAGUUUACGACCUCGAUGUUGGAUUGAAGUAUCUAAAGGGUGUAGCAGUUCUUUGGGUUGGUCUGUUCGACCAUUAAAACUUUACAUGAUCUGAGUUCAGACCGGCGUGAGCCAGGUCGGUUUCUAUCUUUUAACAUAAAAAUAUUAAAGAUAGUACGAAAGGACCUCUAUUAAGUAAAUUUUUUAUAAUUUUUAAAGAGCCUCACGUAAUUAUUAUAAUGGCAGAUUAGUGCAUUAGAUUUAAAAUCUAAAAAUGGAGACCU
RNAcentral lists this ribosomal RNA (1432 nucleotides) under Bathysciadiidae sp. MNHN-IM-2013-40843. Its description in RNAcentral is "16S ribosomal RNA". The stretch from base 675 to 1432 matches the Rfam family "Archaeal large subunit ribosomal RNA", at positions 1423 to 2891 of the family's 2987-position model. The record is from RNAcentral. Lineage: Eukaryota; Metazoa; Mollusca; Gastropoda; Bathysciadiidae.